Long non-coding RNA from Tupaia belangeri chinensis (Chinese tree shrew), 288 nucleotides. RefSeq lists it as uncharacterized. Lineage: Eukaryota; Metazoa; Chordata; Mammalia; Scandentia; Tupaiidae. The record is from RefSeq and is a predicted model, not a curated record. The transcript has 3 exons.
AUUUCUGUUGACAGCUCAGUACAGUGUUCUACUGUUGGGAAAUGCCCUUAGUAAAGCUCUCGAGUUUCUUCACUGAGAACAGUAAGUGGGAGCCGUUAUCGGAGAGAGUACGCUGCUGAGACUUGCAUGGACCACACUGGAACCCAGCUAGCCAUGGUAGACCAUGUGCCCGUGCUGUGUGAGUGCAAUGGCUGAGCCGUUUCAGUGCGAAUCUCAGGACACAAGUUCCCCAGAGAGGAGACUCCUCUGAGCACCAGACUUGAAGCUUCAUUAAACACAGAGCCGCAC